GAGCAGUUUGGCAUAUGUUCUGAAUCUAAGGUUGAUUAUUAUUCCUUUAGCACUAGUACUGCUCUGAGAUCUG
Small nucleolar RNA from Chlorocebus sabaeus (green monkey), 73 nucleotides. The record is from Ensembl. Lineage: Eukaryota; Metazoa; Chordata; Mammalia; Primates; Cercopithecidae.